GACGAACCGUCCAAACGUUAUUCGGAAUCACUGGGCUUAAAGGGCGCGUAGGCGGCCGAGCGGGUCACGGGUGAAAUCCUCCAGCUUAACUGGAGAACUGCCCUUGAUACCACUGCGGCUCGAGGAAGGAAGGGGCAAUCAGAACUGUCGGUGGAGCGGUGAAAUGCGUUGAUAUCGACAGGAACGCCGGUGGCGAAAGCGGAUUGCUGGUCCUUUUCUGACGCUGAUGCGCGAAAGCCAGGGGAGCAAACGGG
RNAcentral lists this ribosomal RNA (254 nucleotides) under uncultured bacterium. Its description in RNAcentral is "partial 16S ribosomal RNA". It matches the Rfam family "Bacterial small subunit ribosomal RNA", at positions 524 to 776 of the family's 1533-position model. The record is from RNAcentral.